This 477-nucleotide long non-coding RNA is filed under the name Ananas comosus (pineapple). RNAcentral describes it as "long non-coding RNA (ACOM_LNC005564)". The record is from RNAcentral. Lineage: Eukaryota; Viridiplantae; Streptophyta; Magnoliopsida; Poales; Bromeliaceae.
AUAUAGCAUUCUAGUUGGGACUUGGAACUGAAAGAUUUGAGGAGCCCAAGGAUCUAUCUAGAUUGUAUCUAUCACCUAGAGGGGGGUGAAUAGGUGAACGGCUAAAAACCACAAAUCUCGAUGCAAUAAAAAUAAAUGCGAAAAAUAAAAAGCACACCGAGAUUUACGUGGAAAAACUCCAACUUGGAGAAAAACCCACGGGACCAACACGUGAAAAAAUAAUUCACUAAGAGAAAAGAUUACAAGGUGAUUACCGACUCCACGGACUCAACCUCUCUUAACCUCUUAUGAAUCUUCGCGCUACCCUCCGGGUUGUCCAUGCCCUCACGUUCGAAUCCACGAACGCCUCCACUUCGAAUCCACGAAGCUUCAAUCACGUCGAAUCCACGACGCCACUCGAAUCCACGAGCCAACGAUCCGAAUCCACGAACCGCCUUUGUUCACGCCGAAUCCACGACGCCGUUCAUGAAGAGCAUC